Molecule: long non-coding RNA, 1275 nt
Filed under: Homo sapiens (human)
Lineage: Eukaryota; Metazoa; Chordata; Mammalia; Primates; Hominidae
Description: HSALNT0029644
Source: RNAcentral
UUUAUAGAUCAACUUUCCAAGGUCAUUAUUUAUUUUUGCAGUUCAGUGCAUAGCUUAAUGUUGAGGUAUUUACUGUUCUUUUACCUUUUGUUUUAAGGUACUUAAAAAGUAGCAUUGGUUCUUGUACCAUUCAUUGUUAUGUUUGUCCUCAUUAGUUGAUUGUUGUGUGUUAAACAGACAUCCCUGGAGCUUAUUCUCCACACUCUGUGAAUCCACUCAUUAAUCACCAGUCACCUUUGGAGAUGGGAAAAUUACUUACCUGUAUUUCUUUUUCUCAGAAAGCGUGCUCUGGAAUGGAUUCACAAAUGAGCUACCCUCCUUCCCUCAAAGAGUAAGGUUUCUGCUUUACAGGAUUUUUUUCUUGGGUUAUUUUUCCUCUCAUCUUUUGAAUUUGAAAAGAACUGAGGGAAGGCACCUGAAGAAACUACUGACAUACUCACUAGGGGAGUUCCAAAGCUUGUGCUGCCCCUAGGGGCAGUGUCAAUGGCUCUUAAAGCUAGAAAGCUCAUACUUGGAGUUGAAACAGGGGCUCAAAGAAUCCAUUUUCCCAGUGUACCUUCUGAAAGGAUAAGUUUCAGGUCAAAGGUUCCGUUACAGUUACUAUGAUGAAUCCCAGGGGGAGAUUUAUAGAUCCAUUGAACAUCUAGAUAAAAUGGGUAUGAGUAUUAUAGAACAAUUAGACCCUGUAUCUUUUAGCAAUUACUUGAAGAAAUACCAUAAUACUAUAUGUGGAAGACAUCCCAUUGGGGUGUUAUUAAAUGCUAUCACAGAGCUCCAGAAGAAUGGAAUGAAUAUGAGUUUUUCGUUUUUGAAUUAUGCCCAGUCGAGCCAGUGUAGAAACUGGCAAGACAGUUCAGUGAGUUAUGCAGCUGGAGCACUCACGGUCCACUGAAGCUCUGAAUCCUCAGGGAUGCCACCUGCACAUUCUCAUACUCUGUCCGGGGUCCCAGCCUAGCCUUUACCACGAUACUGGUCCUGGUUUGGGGGGAUUCUGAAACCUCAAACUAAUAGAACUUUCUUCUCUUUUUUUCUAGUAGGUGUAGUCCUUCCUUAAUUUCAACUCAUUAAAAAAUGCUUUAUAGUUUAGGGCAGUGGAAGGAAGGCUGGCAUCAAAAUAUUUUGAUCAAAAAAGAUGACAAUGUAAAGGCUCAGUUGUGGCAGACAGUUUUUUGAAAGUAACUUGUAAAGCAUUUACCAUAUCCUAAAUUUGCACUCUUUGCAGACUUGUGCACAUAUAUUCCGCUUUCAGAAUAGUUUUGCAAAUUGUACACAAAC